This 848-nucleotide ribosomal RNA is filed under the name Escherichia coli. Its description in RNAcentral is "partial 23S ribosomal RNA". It matches the Rfam family "Bacterial large subunit ribosomal RNA", at positions 1 to 882 of the family's 2925-position model. Lineage: Bacteria; Pseudomonadati; Pseudomonadota; Gammaproteobacteria; Enterobacterales; Enterobacteriaceae. The record is from RNAcentral.
GGGUUGUGAGGUUAAGCGACUAAGCGUACACGGUGGAUGCCCUGGCAGUCAGAGGCGAUGAAGGACGUGCUAAUCUGCGAUAAGCGUCGGUAAGGUGAUAUGAACCGUUAUAACCGGCGAUUUCCGAAUGGGGAAACCCAGUGUGUUUCGACACACUAUCAUUAACUGAAUCCAUAGGUUAAUGAGGCGAACCGGGGGAACUGAAACAUCUAAGUACCCCGAGGAAAAGAAAUCAACCGAGAUUCCCCCAGUAGCGGCGAGCGAACGGGGAGCAGCCCAGAGCCUGAAUCAGUGUGUGUGUUAGUGGAAGCGUCUGGAAAGGCGCGCGAUACAGGGUGACAGCCCCGUACACAAAAAUGCACAUACUGUGAGCUCGAUGAGUAGGGCGGGACACGUGGUAUCCUGUCUGAAUAUGGGGGGACCAUCCUCCAAGGCUAAAUACUCCUGACUGACCGAUAGUGAACCAGUACCGUGAGGGAAAGGCGAAAAGAACCCCGGCGAGGGGAGUGAAAAAGAACCUGAAACCGUGUACGUACAAGCAGUGGGAGCACGCUUCGGCGUGUGACUGCGUACCUUUUGUAUAAUGGGUCAGCGACUUAUAUUCUGUAGCAAGGUUAACCGAAUAGGGGAGCCGAAGGGAAACCGAGUCUUAACUGGGCGUUAAGUUGCAGGGUAUAGACCCGAAACCCGGUGAUCUAGCCAUGGGCAGGUUGAAGGUUGGGUAACACUAACUGGAGGACCGAACCGACUAAUGUUGAAAAAUUAGCGGAUGACUUGUGGCUGGGGGUGAAAGGCCAAUCAAACCGGGAGAUAGCUGGUUCUCCCCGAAAGCUAUUUAGGUAGCGCCU